Molecule: ribosomal RNA, 500 nt
Filed under: uncultured bacterium
Lineage: Bacteria
Description: partial 16S ribosomal RNA
Rfam family: Bacterial small subunit ribosomal RNA
Source: RNAcentral
AUUGAACGCUGGCGGCAUGCCUUACACAUGCAAGUCGAACGGCAGCACGGGAGCAAUCCUGGUGGCGAGUGGCGAACGGGUGAGUAAAGUAUCGGAACGUGCCCAGUCGUGGGGGAUAACGUAGCGAAAGUUACGCUAAUACCGCAUACGAUCUAUGGAUGAAAGCGGGGGAUCGCAAGACCUCGCGCGAUUGGAGCGGCCGAUAUCAGAUUAGGUAGUUGGUGGGGUAAAGGCUCACCAAGCCGACGAUCUGUAGCUGGUCUGAGAGGACGACGAGCCACACUGGGACUGAGACACGGCCCAGACUCCUACUGGAGGCAGCAGUGGGGAAUUUUGGACAAUGGGCGAAAGCCUGAUCCAGCCAUGCCGCGUGCAGGAUGAAGGCCUUCGGGUUGUAAACUGCUUUUGUACGGAACGAAAAGGUUUGGCCUAAUAAGCUGAGCUCAUGACGGUACCGUAAGAAUAAGCACCGGCUAACUACGUGCCAGCCGCCGCAGUAA